RNAcentral lists this ribosomal RNA (468 nucleotides) under uncultured bacterium. RNAcentral's name for it is "partial 16S ribosomal RNA". It matches the Rfam family "Bacterial small subunit ribosomal RNA", at positions 28 to 507 of the family's 1533-position model. The record is from RNAcentral.
GACGAACGCUGGCGGCGUGCUUAACACAUGCAAGUCGAACGGAAAGGCCCUGCUUUUGUGGGGUGCUCGAGUGGCGAACGGGUGAGUAACACGUGAGUAACCUGCCCUUGACUUUGGGAUAACUUCAGGAAACUGGGGCUAAUACCGGAUAGGAGCUCCUGCUGCAUGGUGGGGGUUGGAAAGUUUCGGCGGUUGGGGAUGGACUCGCGGCUUAUCAGCUUGUUGGUGGGGUAGUGGCUUACCAAGGCUUUGACGGGUAGCCGGCCUGGGAGGGUGACCGGCGAAAAUGGGACAGAGAGACGGGCCAGAAGCCUACGGGAGGGAGGAGGGGGGAAUAUUGCACAAUGGGAGGAAGGCGGAGGGAGGAAAGGCGGGUGGGGGAAGAAGGCCUUCGGGGUGGAAACCGAUUUCGCCCGUGACGAAGAGUGAGUGACGGUAAUGGGUAAAGAAGCACCGGCUAACUACGUG